CCUACGGGAGGCAGCAGUGAGGAAUAUUGGUCAAUGGCCGGAAGGCUGAACCAGCCAAGCCGCGUGAAGGACGAAGGUGCCAAGCAUUGUAAACUUCUUUUGUCAAGGGACAAAAUCAGGCUCGCGUGCCUCACCGCGGGUACCUGAUGAAAAAGCAUCGGCUAACUCCGUGCCAGCAGCCGCGGUAAUACGGAGGAUGCGAGCGUUAUCCGGAUUUAUUGGGUUUAAAGGGUGCGUAGGCGGGCUGUUAAGUCAGCGGUAAAAGCCCGGGGCUCAACCCUGGCGAGCCGUUGAGACUGGGUGGCUUGAGAUGUCGAGAGGUAGGCGGAAUGCGCAGUGUAGCGGUGAAAUGCUUAGAUAUUGCGCAGAACUCCGAUUGCGAAGGCAGCAUACCGGCGGUGAUCUGACGCUGAGGCACGAAAGCGUGGGUAUCGAACAGGAUUAGAUACCCUUGUAGUC
This 459-nucleotide ribosomal RNA is filed under the name uncultured bacterium. RNAcentral's name for it is "partial 16S ribosomal RNA". It matches the Rfam family "Bacterial small subunit ribosomal RNA", at positions 338 to 795 of the family's 1533-position model. The record is from RNAcentral.